GUGCUUGCUUCGGCAGCACAUAUACUAAAAUUGGAUGCAGAGAAGAUUAGUAUGGCCCCUGCGCAAGGAUGACAAAUUGGUGAAGCGUUCCAUAUUAAA
Small nuclear RNA from Myotis lucifugus (little brown bat), 99 nucleotides. The record is from Ensembl. Lineage: Eukaryota; Metazoa; Chordata; Mammalia; Chiroptera; Vespertilionidae.